AUGCGAAAAGCUAUCAGUUUUACAUUUUUAAAUUUACAUCUUCUAUUGAAAAUGGACGGUGGAAAGGAAAGUCUUUUUUUCUCAUUGACUCAUUUGUUGACCCAGCACACAUGCGCGCGUGCACACUUGUGUGUUGUGCGCUCCGCCACGCCCGAGCUGCAUCUUCUACUACAAGUACCCAACCCAAGGUUCGCCUCUUCCUCUCCGCCGCAUCCAUCUUCACUCCAUCCAGCCGCUUCUCAUUUCUUCUUCUCCACACCGCUGGGAGGCUCCAUCAGCACGGCCGCCUCUGCCGCCACCGCCGAGAUGAGCCUGCUCAUAGGUGUGCGCAAGGAUAUCUGGUUCAUCAAAGAUGAGCUAAAGACCAUGCAGGCAUUCCUGGAAACCGUUGAAGCAACAAAAGACAAAGACAUGCUACUGAAGGUGUGGGCAGAGCAAGUAAGGGACCUGUCCUACAAUAUUGAAGAUUGCCUUAGUGAAUUCAUGGUGCAUGUGAGGAGUCAAAGCUUGUCAAGGAAACUAAUGAAGCUCAAAGACCGCCAUCGAAUCGCUAUGGAGAUCCGUGAUCUCAAAUCAAGAGUUGAAGAAGUGAGCAGUAGGAACACACGCUACAAUUUGUUCACAACCAAUGAUGCCAACACCGUUGACGAGAUGAAGUCCAAUGUGGAAGAUAUUCGCAAGCACUCGGGUAGCAACAUUGAUGAGGCAGAGCUUGUGGGCUUCGUUAAGCCUAAACGGGAGUUAAUUCAGAUGGUAGAUGUUAACUCCAGGGAUGGUCCUUGCAAGGAGAUAUGUAUUGUUGGCAUGGGUGGUUUAGGAAAGACCACUCUUGCACGGCAGACAUACGAAAGUAAGGAAGAUAUUGUGAAGAAUUUUUCUUGUCGUGCUUGGAUCACAGUAUCACAAUCAUUUUCCAAGAUAGAGAUGCUCAAGGAUAUGAUCAAACAGUUUUUUGGUAAUGACUCACUACGGACAUUCUUGCAUGAUGUUGAAGGGAAGACAGUGCGAGAACAAGACCUCUCCAAUUACCUCACAAGUGAGUUGAAGGAUAAGAGGUACUUUAUUAUUCUUGAUGACUUGUGGAACAUACAAGACUGGGAAUGGAUCAAAACUUUUGCCUUUCCUAGUAAUAACCAGAAAGGUAGCCGGGUAAUAGUAACAACACGAGAUGUUGGAUUAGCUGAGCAUAUUACUGUAAAAGAGUUGGUCUACCACCUUAAACCGCUAGACUCACUUGAUGCCACAAAUUUGCUACUGAGAAAGAGUAGAAAAAGACAGGAAGACAUGGAAAAAGAUGAGAAAUGGAAGAAGACAGUUGAACAACUAGUUAGAAAGUUUGGGUGCUUACCGUUGGCUAUACUCACAGUAGGAGGCAUCCUUGCUACUAAAAAGAUAGCAUAUUGGGCACAGGUCUAUGAACAACUCCCCUCGGAGCUCGAGAGUAACCCUAGCCUUGAGGCAAUGAGGAGUAUGGUUACUCUAAGCUACAAUCACUUACCAUCUCAUCUCAAGCCAUGCUUUUUGUAUCUAAGCAUCUUUCCUGAGGAUUAUGAAAUAAAAAGAAGGCGUCUGGUAGAGAGAUGGAUAGCGGAGGGGCUUGUUAGAGCCAAAGAUGGGGUGCAUGUUUUGGAUGUUGGAAUAGGUUAUUUCACAGAGUUAAUCAGCCGUAGCAUGAUUCAACCCUCAAAAGUGGACAUAGAAGGGAACAUUAAGAGUUGUCGAGUCCAUGAUAUCAUGCAUGAUGUCAUGGUCUCAAUUGCAAGAAAUGAAAAUUUUGUAUACUUGGCAGGAGAAGAUGUAACCAGUGCCGUGGAGGAGAACUUUCGCCAUGUAUCAUACCAUGGCAGCAAGUGCCAAAAUAUAGGCAUAGACUGGAGCCAUGUUCAAUCAAUAACGGUGUUUGGUGAUAGACCUGUGGAUCCAUCACCUUCAGUCUGUUCACCGGACUUGAGGAUGCUGAGAGCCUUGGAUCUAAAGGAUGCAGAAUUUGAAAUCUCACAGAAAUAUAUCAAUAAUAUAGGGCUGUUACGUCACUUGAAAUAUGUGAAUCUUUCUUAUGCUGAACAUUACGCAAACUAG
RNAcentral lists this ribosomal RNA (2079 nucleotides) under Triticum aestivum (bread wheat). RNAcentral's name for it is "partial small subunit ribosomal RNA". Lineage: Eukaryota; Viridiplantae; Streptophyta; Magnoliopsida; Poales; Poaceae. The record is from RNAcentral.